Molecule: ribosomal RNA, 384 nt
Filed under: uncultured bacterium
Lineage: Bacteria
Description: bacterial SSU rRNA
Rfam family: Bacterial small subunit ribosomal RNA
Source: RNAcentral
AUUAAACGCUGGCGGCAUGCCUUACACAUGCAAGUCGAACGGUAGCGCGGGGCAACCUGGCGACGAGUGGCGAACGGGUGAGUAAAGCAUCGGAACGUGCCCUGGAAUGGGGGAUAACGUAGCGAAAGUUACGCUAAUACCGCAUAUUCUGUGAGCAGGAAAGCAGGGGAUCGCAAGACCUUGCGUUCUGGGAGCGGCCGAUGUCGGAUUAGCUAGUUGGUGGGGUAAAAGCCUACCAAGGCGACGAUCCGUAGCGGGUCUGAGAGGAUGAUCCGCCACACUGGGACUGAGACACGGCCCAGACUCCUACGGGAGGCAGCAGUGGGGAAUUUUGGACAAUGGGCGCAAGCCUGAUCCAGCCAUGCCGCGUGAGUGAAGAAGGCC